CCUACGGGCGGCAGCAGUGAGGAAUAUUGGUCAAUGGGCGUAAGCCUGAACCAGCCAAGUCGCGUGAGGGAUGAAGGUUCUAUGGAUUGUAAACUUCUUUUAUAAGGGAAUAAAGUGUGGGACGUGUCCUAUUUUGUAUGUCCCUUAUGAAUAAGGAUCGGCUAACUCCGUGCCAGCAGCCGCGGUAAUACGGAGGAUCCGAGCGUUAUCCGGAUUUAUUGGGUUUAAAGGGUGCGUAGGUGGCCUUUUAAGUCAGUGGUGAAAGUCUGUGGCUCAACCAUAGAAUUGCCGUUGAUACUGGGAGUCUUGAGUACGUUUGAGGUAGGCGGAAUGCGUGGUGUAGCGGUGAAAUGCUUAGAUAUCACGCAGAACCCCGAUUGCGAAGGCAGCCUACCAAGCUGUGACUGACGCUGAUGCACGAAAGUGUGGGGAUCAAACAGGAUUAGAUACCCUUGUAGUC
RNAcentral lists this ribosomal RNA (460 nucleotides) under uncultured bacterium. Its description in RNAcentral is "partial 16S ribosomal RNA". It matches the Rfam family "Bacterial small subunit ribosomal RNA", at positions 338 to 795 of the family's 1533-position model. The record is from RNAcentral.